CUGAUGUUUAUUGCAGCAUUACUUGCCAUAGUCAAAUUAUGGCAGCAGCCUAAGUGUCUAUCGAUAGAUGAAUGGUUAAAGAAGAUUUUGGGGCACCUGGGUGGCUCAGU
This is a long non-coding RNA of Lynx canadensis (Canada lynx), 110 nucleotides long. RefSeq lists it as uncharacterized. Lineage: Eukaryota; Metazoa; Chordata; Mammalia; Carnivora; Felidae. The record is from RefSeq and is a predicted model, not a curated record. The transcript has 3 exons.